This 106-nucleotide ribosomal RNA is filed under the name Erinaceus europaeus (western European hedgehog). The record is from RNAcentral. Lineage: Eukaryota; Metazoa; Chordata; Mammalia; Eulipotyphla; Erinaceidae.
GUCUACGGCCAUACCACCCUGAACACGCCCGAUGUCAUCUGAUCUCAGAAGCUAAGCAAGGUUGGGCCUGGUUAGUACUUGGAUGGGAGAAAGGGAGAUAGAGACA